GUGUCAGCAGCCGCGGUAAUACGGAGGAUCCGAGCGUUAUCCGGAAUUAUUGGGUUUAAAGGGUUCGUAGGCGGCUUUGUAAGUCAGUGGUGAAAUUUUCUAGCUUAACUAGGACACGGCCAUUGAUACUGCAGAGCUUGAAUAAUACGGAAGUAACUAGAAUAUGUAGUGUAGCGGUGAAAUGCUUAGAUAUUACAUGGAAUACCAAUUGCGAAGGCAGGUUACUACGUAUUUAUUGACGCUGAUGAACGAAAGCGUGGGGAGCGAACAGGAUUAGAUACCCUGGUAGUCCACGCCGUAAACGAUGGAUACUAGCUGUCCGGGCUUCGGCCUGGGUGGCUAAGCGAAAGUGAUAAGUAUCCCACCUGGGGAGUACGUUCGCAAGAAUGAA
This 391-nucleotide ribosomal RNA is filed under the name uncultured bacterium. RNAcentral's name for it is "bacterial SSU rRNA". It matches the Rfam family "Bacterial small subunit ribosomal RNA", at positions 505 to 898 of the family's 1533-position model. The record is from RNAcentral.